Molecule: long non-coding RNA, 1239 nt
Organism: Gorilla gorilla gorilla (western lowland gorilla)
Lineage: Eukaryota; Metazoa; Chordata; Mammalia; Primates; Hominidae
Exons: 3
Source: RefSeq, a predicted model, not a curated record
CCUGUGGGCCUUUAGGGUCUCCAGUGUUCCGCUUCCCUUCCCAUCGCUGUGGCUUUCUCCUGAGUCUCAGAAAGUUCGUAUCCCCUACACUACCGGCGCAGCCUGUAUCCCAACCCUGAUUUUACAUCUUUGCUGCCUCCAGGUCGUGAUCUGGCCAAUCCCGUCUCUCCUCAAUUUCCCCAUCAGUAAAAUGGGCUUGAUAAAGCGCUCUCUUACAGAGGGGUUUGCCUUUUUUUUUUUUUUUAAUUUUUUUUUUUUGAGACAAGUUCUCGCUCUGUCUCCUAGGCCGGAGUGCAGUGACACGAUCUCGGCUCACUGCAAACUCCGCCUCCCAGGUUCAAGCGAUUCUCCUACCUCAGCCUCUCGAGUAGCUGGAACUACAGGCAUGCGCCACCACGCCCGGCUAAUUUUUGUAUUUUUAGUAGAGACGAGGUUUCACCAUGUUGGCCAGGCUGGUCUCGAACUCCUGACCUCAGGUGAUCCGCCUGAGUAGGCCUCCCAAAGUGCUGGGAUUACAGGCGUGAGCCACCGCGCCCGGCCCGGUUUGCCUAUUUUAAUAGGAGUGCCUGUAAAGCCCUUGGCGCAUAGUAAUCGCUAAACAUGGCAGUCGAUUAGAAAGGCAAUUGCUGUCGGGGACAGCAAUUGGGGGUAGAAUGUGGAGUAUCCUAUGUUUCUACCACCAUUCAGAAUCCGAUUUUCAAACGAAUUCUGUGAUGAUCAGGAUCAAUCGGCACUAUUUUAGUCUCUACGUGAUUUAAAAUAGAAUUGAACUCAACUGCUCUCCGCUAGAGGUCCCAGCACUUUGGAAUUCCAAGUUUGGUUAAGUUUCCCUCCGAGGCUACUUCUAUCACUCCACUAUCUCUAUGGAUUCCCAAGGAGAACAGCUUCUUCUCCUGGGGCUGGGAAUACAGCAAGGAAGGGGACAGAUGGAGAUGGAGUUUCGCUUUUUCGCCCAGGCUGGAGUGCAAUGGCGCCAUCUCAGCUCACUGCGACCUCUGCCUCCCAGGUUCAAUCGAUUCUCCUGCCUCAGCCUCCCGAGUAGCUGUGAUUACAGGCGCCCACCAUCACGCUCAGCUAAUUUUUGUAUUUUUAAUAGAGACGAGGUUUCACCAUGUUGGCCAGGCUGUUCUUGAACUCCUGACAUCAGGUGAUCCACCCACCUUGGCCCACAGGCAUGAGCCACUGCACCUAGCCCAUAUAGUGUUCUAUUGUUAAUGUAAAAUAAAAAAAAUAAAAGGA